UUUCGCCAAACACCUAUAUGCGCCCACAGCACUCAAAGGGUUAACUCUCGACCAAUUCUUUACUCAACUGCAAAGAACUGAUCGACUCUCAACUGAAAGCUGACAGACUCUAAGUGGCUAUGCUUAUUUAUACUACAAACUAUCAUGGGAUAAUUGUCAUGUGACCGUUUAUUCCACGAAUACGCGGAGUUUCGACACGUAAUUAUUUCUACGGAUGCUGCAAUCUUCAUUUUUGCUGGUGUCCUUCCAAAAGUCUUAGGAUUUCUUUUCUCCGCUGAUGUGGUUUUCGUGGAUAUGUUUUUCGACGUCCUUGCUAUUGCAUUUCUCUUGCAGUUUUAAUUUCCUUGUGCCAAGGUUAACUUCUGCUGAUGCCGAUAUUUGAUUCUUUGGCGCGUGCUUGUCUCUGCUGAUGUUACAUGAGAGGGUCAUAGUCGCUCAACUCCCGUUGUUUGUUUAUCUUACUGUGUAUUGUGGUGGGGAGAUCGUGUGUGGGGAGCGAAAGAUGGCGCGUGUCAGCGGACGUCUCAUUCAGCCAACCGCGCGCCACAGCGAGUUUCCCACCGUGCUCGGACAAGACAACCUGUAACGCUGUCCAUCGUGCAUUGUUCCAAGUAUCGAGGACUAAUAUUCACUACUUAACAAACAAAGAAGUGUAAACAAUAAUUGAUAAUAAUAACGACAACAACAACAAAAAAUAAAAGAAAACGCGUUACUAAAAGGGAGGCUAUUGCCUUUCAUCGCAGCCAGAGGUCCUAUCCCACACUCUGUAUCGCGAAGUGGCGAUACAGGCACUUACCGAAGUUACCAUAACCGGCGAAUAUCUGCGUCAUACCUGACCAAUAUUACUACUUCCUCUAUUUUCCAAAAUACUAGAGAAAAUAUAUACGAUCGUCUAAAACCAACAAUAGAGAAAGAAAAAUUAAUACCAGAUCACCAAUUUGAAUUCAGAAACAAACACUUCCCGAUAGAGCAAUUGUACAGGCUCGUCAACGAAAUUUUACUAGCAAUAGAAAAGAAACAAUAUUGUACAACCCUCUUCAUGGACAUUGAGAAAGCAUUUGACAAAGUGAACCGUGAAAGCCUCUUACAAACAAUCGAAAAACACUUCCCGGAACAAAUCCACCACUUACUCAAAUCAUACCUAAGCAACAGAACCUUUGUAGUAAAAAUACUUUGUUGUUUUUGGCUCGUUGAUGUUCUAUAAGGAACAUUGGUAGUGGUGUCGAUGUGCUGUUCUUGACCAGUUUAAUUAUGCUAUUUAUUUUGUGUCCUUCUUCCAUUAGGUCUGUCAAUAUAUUUUGUGCCAAGUUUUGUGUGCAGUCCCUUUAUCACUAUCUUAAAUUUCUUUUCAGUCUUUGGUUGGUGAGUGUAAUAAUUUGAAUUUUUUAUUUCAAGUACUUCAAUCACUGUAUGCAUCUAAAGUAAAUUUUUGCAGUUUGACUUGUAUAUCUUUUAAUUAUUUCUUUAAAAAUUACUUGGGUCUGUGGCGGCACUCGACCUCGGAAAUUUCCAACGGUUUCGCGGCACAAAGCGCUAUGUCGACAAGCCUUAGGUGUCAUCGAUAAUCUCUACGGUUCCUUCGCUGAAUUUUUGGGAGUCCGCACACGCGGCAGUCGUCGCGGGCUUCUAACAAACGCGCGCGAUAUCGAUGGCCAACAAA
Molecule: long non-coding RNA, 1660 nt
Organism: Bombus terrestris (buff-tailed bumblebee)
Lineage: Eukaryota; Metazoa; Arthropoda; Insecta; Hymenoptera; Apidae
Exons: 3
Source: RefSeq, a predicted model, not a curated record